Molecule: transfer RNA, 85 nt
Filed under: Streptomyces sp. NA04227
Lineage: Bacteria; Bacillati; Actinomycetota; Actinomycetes; Kitasatosporales; Streptomycetaceae
Description: tRNA-Leu
Rfam family: tRNA
About the family: Transfer RNA (tRNA) molecules are approximately 80 nucleotides in length. Their secondary structure includes four short double-helical elements and three loops (D, anti-codon, and T loops).
Source: RNAcentral
GCGGCCGUUGCUGAAUUGGCAUAAGCGGGCGUUUUAGGGGCGUCUGGGGUAAUCCCCCGUGUGGGUUCGAGUCCCACCGGCCGCA